AGCGAACGCUGGCGGCAGGCUUAACACAUGCAAGUCGAGCGGGCGUAGCAAUACGUCAGCGGCAGACGGGUGAGUAACGCGUGGGAACGUACCUUUUGGUUCGGAACAACACAGGGAAACUUGUGCUAAUACCGGAUAAGCCCUUACGGGGAAAGAUUCAUCGCCGAAAGAUCGGCGCGCGUCUGUUUAGCUAGUUGGUGAGGUAACGGCUCACCAAGGCGACGAUCAGUAGCUGGUCUGAGAGGAUGAUCAGCCACAUUGGGACUGAGACACGGCCCAAACUCCUACGGAAGGCAGCAGUGGGGAAUAUUGGACGAUGGGGGCAACCCUGAUCCAGCCAUGCCGCGUGAGUGAUGAAGGCCGUAGGGUUGUAAAGCUCUUUUGUGCGGGAAGAUAAUGACGGUACCGCAAGAAUAAGCCCCGGCUAACUUCGUG
This 435-nucleotide ribosomal RNA is filed under the name uncultured bacterium. Its description in RNAcentral is "partial 16S ribosomal RNA". It matches the Rfam family "Bacterial small subunit ribosomal RNA", at positions 29 to 507 of the family's 1533-position model. The record is from RNAcentral.